Molecule: long non-coding RNA, 1617 nt
Organism: Helianthus annuus (common sunflower)
Lineage: Eukaryota; Viridiplantae; Streptophyta; Magnoliopsida; Asterales; Asteraceae
Exons: 8
Source: RefSeq, a predicted model, not a curated record
UCAUCCGAAAUCAUUGGAAGCUCCCACGCUCUAUUUGAAAUUUGAAACCUUUGUAGCAGUUCAGGGAGUUGAAGACCAUGUCUCCUGUGUAGAGGCAGUUAUCAGAGACGACAACGGGGGAGCGGUUUUUUAACCUACUACAUACAGUUUUCAUAUCUUCCUAGCCCUAUAUACAACCCCCACGUCUACCCUCAUCUCAAGCCCUUCUGCAGAUGUUUCUAAUUUCCUUUCAUUUUCACAUGGAGACACUUUCUAAUUAUGCCCUAAUCGCCGAUCAACAACAACACACUCCGUACGCCAUUGCAUCUUCCACCCCUCACCAAAAUGGUUGAAUAAUAAUUUUGAAAGGCUGAAGUGAAGAACCCUCUGGUAGGCAUUUUUUAUUGCAAUAAUUCUCCAAAAUUACUGCCUCAGAAGCUUCAAAUCGAUGUCAUCGUCUGAUGAGUUUGUUCAUUUUAAUCCCUUGUUGUGCAGAGUAGGGCUUUAAGAUACAAUGGUCGAAUUAUUCGACCCUAGAAAGAUGGUCACGGAUUAUGACUGUUCUGCUGAAGAGGAUUACUGCGACCACUGCGACUUUGCUUUCACUUUUGCCUUCAACGAUCCCAAUUUCUCCGAUCGUGUUCUUGGCAUCCAUAUUUUAACUGCGCCGAUCGAGUCUACACCAGAAAUAUAGAAAAAGAAACUCAAAAUUUAAAGGAUAUGACAGCUCGAAUUAUCUCCAAAAAAAUGGCACUGAUUCUAACCGAAAGUUUUGGUAGCCAUAUGCAAGAAGCAAGACCUUAGAUUUCGUCCACAAGCUCUUUUCAAACGGGAUGAGUGAGUCAACACAACGCUUUGUAACCUUGCAAAUCAAUGCUUCAGAGGAAGGUGCCUUCAUGGAACUACUCAACUUUAUGUAUAGCAGUAAAUAGACAGUUACAACUUCUCCAGAUGUGCUUGAUGUGCUAAAAGUUGCUGACAAAUUUAUGCUGACAAUGUUCUGAUCAAAACAACAGAUGUUGGUUCAGCAGGGAGCGAGCACUAUUUGAGCACUAUAAAAUUCAUUGAUGCUGUAGCAAACUAGCUGAAGUCAAGGCUUGUGGGGAAAUCAUCACUGCAUUUGUAUCUUUCAGGGCUGUGCUAUUGGUCUACUAAUUGCUUUGCUGCGACUUCUUGGUGGAAACAAUGGGAUUUUACAAGGGAUGGUCUCCAUGAGAAGAGUGUUAUAUUGUUCAAGGGGUAUAAGUGUAACAUUUAGUGUUAAAGUGGUAUAUGGUUAAAACUUGAAGGGUUAAGGUGAAAGAUUGCUUUUGGCUGGAUAUAAAAGCAAGUUCAACAGUUGUAGAGAUCAGUUGUUCCGGAAGCAUCUUUGGCAUCUUCUCUCUCUCUCUCUCAUCAGACACUCAGGCGAUUAGGGUUUGAGCUUUUGUUACAGAUCGUUUGUGAUCUCUGGUUUAUUGUUUGAUCUCGUGUGAGAUCCUGUUGUAUUGUUCUGUAUAGAUCAACUGAUAUUCAUCAGUUGAUCAUAUUCUUUCUUGUAUUUGUUAAAGAUCUCACUAUUGGUGAGAUCUAGGGUUUCUGGUGGGUGUUUUUCUGGUUUGGGUAAAUAAUAAAAGUUUUGUCACCGUUUUGUCGCUA